GCACACAUUCCAUGCAAACACCCCAAAGCACUUUCUAAGUGAUUUUACCAUUUUCCCUACUUCUCUCUUCUCCUCAAAUUUGCACCUCUUCAAACAUAACCCAUAAAAGAAUUUCCCUUGAUGUCGAGCCGGCUCGCCAAAAGUCAAUUUUGGAGAAAUUACUUAAGCCAAUCAAAUCAAAUGAUUUCUCCAUCUGUAAAAUGGGAGGACGAACAAAUUAAAACAAAAGGUCGUUUUCCAUGGGACUCUCAGGUUUUUCAAAGGAUCGACUAUGAAUCAAUUUGAAUACAAGAACAAGAACUAUUAUAAUUACAGGAGAAAAAUCAUAUGGGUUAUUCAAUAUUAUUCGUUUGAAUGAACGGAUACCAAUCAAACAGGGAUGCUCGUUAGAUUGGGUACAAGCAGAUUGGUCCGGUGACACUCUUAUUGUCACAUUUCAGAAGGAACAUUAUAAAUUUUUAUUUUCACACAAAUCAUGAAUUACUCCAUGUACGAAUAAAGAUCAACUUCCAUUGUCACAAUACAGUUGGUCAUGUGUAUAGAAACUUAUAUCCAUAUUGUAAUUCAAAUUAUGUAUGAAUGUUAGUGUAUGUACAUUGUAACCACUCUCCAACAUUUACGUACUCAUGUGCUUGUACAAGAAAUUUCACUAUGUUGUUUAUUUAAAAGUGAAUAUUUAUAUA
Long non-coding RNA from Cucumis melo (muskmelon), 683 nucleotides. RefSeq lists it as uncharacterized. The record is from RefSeq and is a predicted model, not a curated record. NCBI's taxonomy places the organism in Eukaryota, Viridiplantae, Streptophyta, Magnoliopsida, Cucurbitales, Cucurbitaceae. The transcript is spliced from 2 exons.